RNAcentral lists this ribosomal RNA (253 nucleotides) under uncultured bacterium. RNAcentral describes it as "partial 16S ribosomal RNA". It matches the Rfam family "Bacterial small subunit ribosomal RNA", at positions 524 to 776 of the family's 1533-position model. The record is from RNAcentral.
UACGUAGGUGGCAAGCGUUGUCCGGAUUUACUGGGCGUAAAGAGCGCGCAGGCGGUCGUUCAAGUCGCGUGUGAAAGCCCCCGGCUCAACUGGGGAGGGUCACGCGAUACUGAUCGACUCGAAGGCAGGAGAGGGUAGUGGAAUUCCCGGUGUAGUGGUGAAAUGCGUAGAUAUCGGGAGGAACACCAAUGGCGAAGGCGACUACCUGGCCUGUUCUUGACGCUGAGGCGCGAAAGCUAGGGGAGCAAACGGG